This 606-nucleotide ribosomal RNA is filed under the name uncultured bacterium. Its description in RNAcentral is "bacterial SSU rRNA". The stretch from base 1 to 519 matches the Rfam family "Bacterial small subunit ribosomal RNA", at positions 338 to 873 of the family's 1533-position model. The record is from RNAcentral.
CCUACGGGAGGCAGCAGUGGGGAAUAUUGGACAAUGGGCGAAAGCCUGAUCCAGCAAUGCCGCGUGAGUGAUGAAGGCCUUAGGGUUGUAAAGCUCUUUUACCAGGGAUGAUAAUGACAGUACCUGGAGAAUAAGCUCCGGCUAACUCCGUGCCAGCAGCCGCGGUAAUACGGAGGGAGCUAGCGUUGUUCGGAAUUACUGGGCGUAAAGCGUACGUAGGCGGUUAUUCAAGUCAGAGGUGAAAGCCUGGAGCUCAACUCCAGAACUGCCUUUGAAACUAGAUAGCUAGAAUCUUGGAGAGGUGAGUGGAAUUCCGAGUGUAGAGGUGAAAUUCGUAGAUAUUCGGAAGAACACCAGUGGCGAAGGCGACUCACUGGACAAGUAUUGACGCUGAGGUACGAAAGCGUGGGGAGCAAACAGGAUUAGAUACCCUGGUAGUCCACGCCGUAAACGAUGAUAACUAGCUGUUCGGGCUCUACGAGCUUGUGUGGCGCAGACUACGACAUUAAGUUAUCCGUCCGUCGGGAGGUACGGUCGCGAGAAUAAACUAACGAAGAAGUUAGUACGGACGUGAGACGUGCCGACGGACGACGACGAGGGAGGAGG